GAAAUACUAGUUAAAUAAUAACAAUGCCUUGUCAAGACAUAGUUACCUCAGGUGUACUUCU
Molecule: transfer RNA, 61 nt
Filed under: Eisenia nana
Lineage: Eukaryota; Metazoa; Annelida; Clitellata; Crassiclitellata; Lumbricidae
Description: tRNA-Asp
Source: RNAcentral